UACGUAGGGCGCAAGCGUUAUCCGGAAUUAUUGGGCGUAAAGAGCUCGUAGGCGGUUUGUCGCGUCUGCCGUGAAAACCUGCAGCUUAACUGUGGGCGUGCGGUCGAUACGGGCAUCACUGGAGUUCGGCAGGGGAGACUGGAAUUUCUGGUGUAGCGGUGAAAUGCGCAGAUAUCAGGAGGAACACCGGUGGCGAAGGCGGGUCUCUGGGCCGAUACUGACGCUGAGGAGCGAAAGCGUGGGGAGCGAACAGG
RNAcentral lists this ribosomal RNA (254 nucleotides) under uncultured bacterium. Its description in RNAcentral is "partial 16S ribosomal RNA". It matches the Rfam family "Bacterial small subunit ribosomal RNA", at positions 524 to 776 of the family's 1533-position model. The record is from RNAcentral.